CAAAGGUUAAUUCCGGUGGCGGAUGGGCAUGCGUCGCAUUAGUUAGUUGGCGGUGUAACGGACCACCAAGACGACGAUGCGUAGGGGUUCUGAGAGGAAGGUCCCCCACACUGGUACUGAGACACGGACCAGACUCCUACGGGAGGCAGCAGUGAGGAAUAUUGGUCAAUGGGCGGGAGCCUGAACCAGCCAAGUCGCGUGAGGGAUGACGGCCCUAUGGGUUGUAAACCUCUUUUGCCGGGGAGCAAAGUGCCGCACGUGUGCGGUUUGGAGAGUACCCGGAGAAAAAGCAUCGGCUAACUCCGUGCCAGCAGCCGCGGUAAUACGGAGGAUGCGAGCGUUAUCCGGAUUUAUUGGGUUUAAAGGGUGCGUAGGCGGACGCUUAAGUCAGCGGUAAAAUUGCGGGGCUCAACCUCGUCGAGCCGUUGAAACUGGGUGCCUUGAGUGGGCGAGAAGUACGCGGAAUGCGUGGUGUAGCGGUGAAAUGCAUAGAUAUCACGCAGAACUCCGAUUGCGAAGGCAGCGUACCGGCGCCCAGCUGACGCUGAAGCACGAAGGCGUGGGUAUCGAACAGGAUUAGAUACCCUGGUAGUCCACGCAGUAAACGAUGAAUGCUAGUUGUCCGGGGCGAUUGAGUUCUGG
This 642-nucleotide ribosomal RNA is filed under the name uncultured bacterium. Its description in RNAcentral is "bacterial SSU rRNA". It matches the Rfam family "Bacterial small subunit ribosomal RNA", at positions 202 to 842 of the family's 1533-position model. The record is from RNAcentral.